AAAAAAAAAAAAACUUCUCUCAAAUAAAUUGUUGCUAGAACAACCAACAUUUCAAAAAAAAAGUGAGAUUGUUUCACAUAAACCAAAAUAUCUCAAAAAUAUUUCAAAAGAAACAUCUCUUCAAAAGGUUCUCCCAAAAGAAGUAGCAUCUUCACAGACUGCUAUACAAAAAUCCUCACAAUAUUUUACAAAUUAAUGUUUUGAAAAAAUGUUCGUUGUGGAGGAAAAUUUUCUGAAAAGCCUCCACAUAUUGUUAUCAAAGAACUUUUCAAAGGAUGACAUUUUAAGUCAUUAGACUUACAAAAAACUCAACAAUAUUAUGAAAACAUAUUGGUUCAAACUGGAUCAAUAUUGUUCAAAUAUUACACAAACCCAAAAGACCCUAACUUUAUUACCUAUUCAAUAACCCAAAUAAUUAAAAUUCUCAAACCAAGAGAUUGGGGUGAAAACCCAAACUCUCCAAAGAAAUUUCCAACCAAAUUCACCAUUGAAACAAACCAUAUUUUACAUACUAGGACUAUCAAACAACUUGAUACAAUGCAUUCCUUUUCAACAACCAACAUUGAGACACUUUUGGCUCAUAUAUUUCAGGUAUGACACCAAUACAAAUUCCCAAAUUGGUUUCAAGAAUGGUGGAACUGGUAUGAACCAUCUUCUUUUAAUAUCCUACCAGAAAAAAUUCAAAAUUUAUGGCCCAAAAUUUUUGACAAAUUCUAGCAAGAACCAUACCAAAAACACAUAUACAAAACAAUCCAUUUAUUUUCAAAAUAGUGUAUUUCUUGGAUUAUUUUUUGGAGUUAUGCUUAUGAAUGAGGCCAAUACAUGAGAAUCCUAUUGUUAGUUCGAAAUUUCAGAACAAAAUAGUGAGAUAAAUUCAAUGACGAAAAAUAUGAAUCCAAGUAUUUGGAUGAUUUUUUUCAACAAAAAUCCAAGAUUAUGCAAGUUUGGUGCCUUGGACCAAACUACUGCAAAAUUUCUUUAAGCCAAGUCGAUUGACAACACAUUGUUGGCUCAAGAAAAAACCAAAACAAAAUAUAGAAAGCUUAUGGUUGAAAUGCUCGACUCAAUGGAUUCCACCUUAAAAGAUGAGAAAUCCUCGAUAUCUUUAAUCAAAAUGGUAGAUCUAGCAGAUGAAACCACAACAGUGACAAUCACCAAAACUAAAAAGAAAUUAAAAAAAAAAGGGAAGAAGAAGAAUAAGAAGAAGACAAUUGUUUUGAAAUAAUUGUCUACAGCCUUCAAAGAUUCCCUACAUACCUGAAGAAUUUGUUGCAAAAAAAGACAAGAAAGUCAAAUAGUAUAUAUUCCCUGGAAGACAAAAGACGGAGAUGAAUAGUAAUGAUUCUCUACAAAGAAAAGAUGAAGAUGAAUAGUAAUGAUUAUCUACAAAGAAAAGACGGAGAUGAACAAUAACGAUUCUCUACAAAAAUUCUCCCAAAAGAAAAGAUGAAGAUAAACAGUAGAGGUUCCUUGCAAAAGUUUUGUAAUUUAGAGAAUAUAUUCUCUGCAAUUGUAAUAAUAGUCUUGAAAAUAACAAUUGUGUAAGACGAGAAAAUAUAUUUGCAAUAAUGUAAGGGAUUAGAUUCCCUAACAAGGACGUUGUAAAGAGGCAAGAGCUCUCUAUAAAAGACUCUAUUUUGCAAUGAAAGGCGUGACUCAAUUUACCCAACAAUUCUCUUGAGCAAAAGUUUCUCUCCAAAAUUUUCAAAUUUUAAGUUUUUGUUUACAAAAAUUAAAAUUCAAAAUAAAUCAAAUCUAGGUUUUUAAGAAUUUAAAUUUCAAGUUUUUACUUCCAUCCAUCCUAAGAUCCUCAGAACUCGUUUGGUAUCAGAGUCAAAAAGUUAAAGUUGUCGUUAUUAUUAUUAUUAUUAUUAUUAUUAUUAUUAUUAAAACUAUAUAUGAUUAUACAAAAAGUUAAAGUUAUGAAAAUAUUUCAUAAAAAAGUUAUGAAAGUGUAGUUUUGUAUUAGAGUAAGUGGAUCAUUUCUUAAAUAUAAUAAUUAUAAUUAUAAGCAUAAUUCUAAUUUUAGGAAAAUAUUUUAUUAAAAUUUAUACUAUUUUAUUUAUAAAAAAAUAAAUUUUCACAAGUUGUCAAUUAUAUAUAUAUUUGACAGUUAUGAAUUUAAUCGAUUAUAUGACAUAUUGUAAUGACUCAGUUAUAACUAAUUAAAGCUAGCAACUAAUUAAACUAAUUAAAAGAAAAGACACAACAAAAUAUUAAGUAUAUGAAUGAUUUAUGUAUUAGCUUUCCUUUAAAGAACUUAAAAUGAUUUAUCAACUUAAAAAUUUAACUUAAAAUGAUUUUUUUUAAAAAUGAUUUUAUGCAUGAUUAUGAUAUUUAGGCUUCGUUUGUUUCACUAAAAAUGACUUUCGAAAAAUGAUUUCUGGAAAAUGACUUACUUUUCUAGAAAAGCUAAUAUUUUAUGGUGUUUGGAUGAAUCUGUGUAAAAUAUUUUCUAUUGUUUAGCAAAUUUCUUGAAAAUAUUUCAUAGAAGUUGUUUCCAAUGAAACAAACAUACAUUUGAGAUUUAUGAUAAAGAGUUUAAAUGAAGUAAUGAAUUGAUUACAAAGUGAUGUUAAUGUGAAAUUAUAGUAAAUAAUGAAUCUUCAUGAUGUUAAGGAUUAAAUUGUAAACUUUGUGAAAUUUAUAAUUGAAACAAGAGAAGCAAUAUCUAUGAAACUUUGUUAUGUAAAAUAAGAUAUUAUAAUGAAUUAUUUGAAUAAAGUGCUUAUAUGGUGAAAGAUAAAUUACAGGAAAAUAAGGACUAAAUUGAAAAAUGUACAAAAGUUUAAAGUGUGAAACAAUUUAGUACGUGAAUAAGGAAAUUAUGAUAAAGGUUUAAUUAAUUUGUUACAAGAUGAUGAAAUAUGCAUAAAGUAUUGUAAAAGUGAAAUUGUGGAAAAAUAUGGAAUUUUUAUGAUGACAAGGACUAAAUUGUUAAACUUGAGAAAAUAUGAGGAUGAAAUGAUAGAAGUGAAAUAAAUAAAAAUUUGAUAUUUGAAACAAAAUAUUGAGAUAAAUUAUGUGAUUAAAGUGUAACAAGAAAGAAAAUUAAUUUCACAUGAUUAACUACUGAAUAUAGAACUUUUAUGACAAAAAGGGACUAAAUUGAAAAAUUAUGAAAGCUUAUAAGAAAAUAUUUGAUAAGUGAAGAAUGUAGUAAAGAAUGUAACAUCUCGGUGCUUUGACCCAAUGUUCAGGUCAGGUAUGGAAGUAUUACAGUGAACAAAGUCUUAUCAAUUGGAAAAUGCCUUUCAGAAAAAAAAAAUUGGUAAGAUUUUUUAUGGGAAUAAGGGAGCAAUUUUACAUCGACUGGAAAACCUUUUACAUUGACCAUCCUAUUUUACAUGAAACAAAUAUAAAAAAAGAUUGAAAAUAUUUUCUGUAAAAGCUUUUACAUUGACCAUCCUAUUGAAUUCACUUUAUUAAUGUAUAAAUGAAUCUAGAGCAUUUAUGAUGACAGUUGUGAAAAAUAAAUCAAAUUGCAAUAUUAAAUUUUUUUUGGGCCCAAAACAAGGUAACAUCAUUUUUUUACAAUGCCCAAAUUUUUUAAAAACCAUUCAACUGAAUCGAACUACAAUUAUCGAUUUCGGAUAUUUCUAUAUUUAUUCGAUAAUUCUAUAUUUAUUCAACAUGGUUUCAAUUUCAAAAGUUAAAAAAUGAAUAGAACGAACCUAACUGAAUACACCCCUAGUUUUGGCUAAAUGCUCGAAUUGGAUUCAUUUUGAGCUCGCUAAUAAGAACAGCUCCAUCGAACAUGAAAUGAGAAUACUGAAAUUUGUUUUGGCAUGCAAAAGAAAAAAAGGGUUGAAUACUGAAGCCUCAGUCUAAAACCAAUUAGUCUUCUCAUCUCUAAGCCAUGAUAUACAGCUUCUCAAUUACAUGCAUGAUUAUAUUAUUCAGUUCAUAAAUCCUACAAUUUUGCGAGCAGAGUCCAGACAUCAUAGCCUUGUUCUUUUUCUUCCCAAUUUCAGUCAGAAUCCUGAAAUUGAUGACAUCAAGUAUAUCCAUAAUAGGCCUUCUUCAUGCCUACACUAUUCAAUCCUAAAAAAUUCAUGUUGGGAAAACAAAUGGAAACUUUAAUAAUCAGUGCAACUUCAAGAGAUCCCCUUAUCUACCUGCAGGUGUAUUAGGCUUCUUUCUUUUUGACUUGGUAUGGAUAUUUCUGGUAUAUCGAAAUGCUGCUAAUGACAAGUGGAAGAGCCACAAGACAAUACACUGAUGGCGGUGUUCCUUCAAAAAGGAACUGCAGCAUGGCUGUUACAAGUAGUGCUGAAACAAUGACGAACCCCUGCACGAAUUUGAGAAAAUUUUGUUGGAAUAAGUGUCCUUCAGAAAAUGGUGUGGUACAUAAAAUAAAUCCAAACAAUAAACGGAAGUGAUCUUCAGCUUUAAUGAUCUCUCGAAAAAUAUUUAUGUUCUUCAGAAUUUAGAUACAUAGAAGGGGAUAAGUUUCAGUUCUGUAUCAGAGCCCACACAGCAGAUGAUCCAGGAUCUAAGGCACUUGGCCUACAUCACCCUCCACCCCUCUUUGACACCAAUACAUGGAUUAGUAAAUUUACUAAUUAAGAAGAAAGCUCUGAUUUUAAAUUUGACAUUCUAUUUACUCAACGAUUUACAAUAUCUUGACCAUCCUUUCAUGUUUUAAACAUUAGAAAAUCCUUUGAUACUCCCAAGUAGUUACUGUAUUACAUUUAUGUAGUUAGGCUUACCUUUCUCACACCACCAGCAAGGCUAGUGACAAGGCCAACAAGAAUCCCACCGAGAGCAUUGGUAACAACCGGAAUCUGAAAAAAAAGGAAGAAGAUAGUUGUGCUUAACUUUAGAAUCAUGUAAUAGCAGCUAAAACAUAAGUAUUGCCAAUAUGGGCCUAGGAAGGGAUAAUCUCCUCAUGUUUGGGACUGAUUAUCCGAGGGAUAUUCAUGAUCUUGUAAUGCUUGAUGCAAUUGCUGAAUUUAAUAAAUAGUUACGAGGUAAUUCUAAAAAAACAAAAACAUAAAAGUUUUGCCAAAAUCAAGUUACAGGAUCUGAUAUAGAAAAUGUCUUAGUUCAUAAAAUACCCUACCCAGUCUUACUCUACUACCCUUUUCCUGCUUAGGUAACUAAAGAGCAUCCCUAAUAUUCUCCAGAGAAAUUUUCAACUAAAAUUGGACUAUUACCAAAGUUAGUGGAGUCCAACCAUAAAAGAACCCAUAGCGUCUGAUAGCUUCUCCAUCUGGAGACUUAGAGGUACUAGCCAGCAAGCACAAGCUUCCAACUAUAGACAUUUCUACAGUCAUCAAGUAUGAUGAGUGCUUCUUGACCUGUAAUAAAGAAAACAUUAAGGAACAUGAAGAAAAUAAGCAAGCCUUCAUUUUUGCAAUAUUGCAUUUUAAAACAGGAAAAUAGGCUAUUUCUCACCUGAGAAGCCCAUUGGCAUAAUGCAGAAGCCAAACCAGAGAGUACAGAAGCAACUAAGACUGGGGCAAUUCCAUAAAAUAAAAUUUUCUCAGGGUCACCACUGCUAGACCCUUUGCUAGAGCCUUCACCAAUGCUUAGAAGGACAGCUGCCAUGAUCAACAAGAACAGAGCCCCGAUUUGUUGAAUUGACUGUCUCUGCCUACAUAGAUAACCACAAAUUAAGCCAAAUAAGUGCACAUAUAUCCAAAGUAUCAUUAUUUUUUCAUCAAAGUCAAUAACCAUAUGCCUUAUAAUGCUUUCAAUUAAAAUAUACAUUCUGAAAAGAAGAAACAAUUAUAAGAACUCUCAAAUUCAUAAAACAUAUAAUAAGUACUUAUGUCAUUUAAAAGUCAAAACAGACAAAAAUAAACCCAGUUUCUAGCUUUAAUAGGAACCGGUUCAUCAGUACAAAGUUCUCUAAAACUAAAAGGAGAUAAUAUUAUAUAUGCAGUUUACGUCACUGGAGAACACUGAAAAGGAGACACAAAGGACAUGUUGAGAAAGAUACCUCAGUAUGAUAUAUGUAAAUAUGGCAGUGAAAAUUAUUUUUGUCUGGUUCAGCAUUGAGAAAGUAAGUGAAUCUAGAUUCCUGUAAGAUAUCUGCAACAAGCUGUUUUGAAGUGCAUAAAUUGCUGCAGGAAGACCUGAUGCAGUAAGUGAACCCACCAAAGUCCAUUCCCUUGCCAGUUUCUUUAAGCUACCAUCUUUUGCCAUGAGAAUAAGGGCACAUACAACCUAGUAAACAUAUUCCAAAGCAAUGAUCUUAUAAAUUCAAGCUUUUAUAUGCAAAAAGAACCAGAAGAAAAAGGGAAAAAGAUAUUUGUCAAAUUACCUUGGCUACCUCACAUGUCAAGACUGAUGAAGUUACAAUUACUUCUCGUCUGUAAAAGAAAGAAAGUAUCAAUUAUGAUAAGUUUAAACUUGAAACCGUCUUCGUUAUCUUACCGUAAAUUUUUUAUGCAAUUGAUAUUAUUAAUCCAUCUAUGGCAGCUCCUCAUACUGCUCAUUUUACUAUUGUUCUGCAUAUCCUUUGCUAUAUCAAAGAUACUUUGUUUCAUAAUCCUUACUUUUCUGGCACAAACUGUCAGUGCUAGAUAUAGCAUUGAACCUGAAUAUAAUGUCUGUACUGAUACUACUUCUGAGUUACUUUGGUUGCGAUGGCUAUUACAGGAUUAAGUGUUUCAUGGUCAUUGCAUAUAGCUCUUUCUUGUAAUAACUGGGAUGCUAUUCAAAUUUGCUCACAUUUCAUAAAUGGACUAAACACAUUGAGAAAUAUCUUGUUCAUGCAACUCAUCAUCUUGUCUGUCUCUUCCACUGAUCAGACUGCAGGCAUUUUUAGUACAACACAUCUUCCUGAAGAGUUCAUGAUCUAGAGUUGACUAAUAUAGAUUCUCUCCUUGAUCUUAUUAGUUAAUGAUUUCAUAAUCUAAGUGAUUCUUGUAUUUUAUUAAAUAGCUUUAGUUUAGAGUUACUUGGGUAUGAAUAUCAGUAUUACUAUGCAUUUACAUUCAACUAAAGAAAAACAAUGUUUUAGCACCCCUAUUUUAACUUGUACCAUCAUUGUUAAACUGAAAUUGCAUCCUAACAUUGCAAAUUUUAGAAUAUCACAUUAAGAUACGAAGAUAAGCAACCGUGGAUACAUUUGAGCAAUUGAUGCCAAGAAAGAUAUCCAAGCACUAAUUAAUUAUAUAAAUACGCAUGAUAGGCUACUUUUGGGCCAUAGUCCACAUCCAGAUUUCGAAAUGAUCACUCAAAAAAGUAAAUUAAAUCCAACAGGUGAUUAAUUACAAGCCAAAUCAAGAGCACAUAAAUUUAGAUUAAAAUAUUUGGAGGGAGACGAGUAUUACCUGGUGAAGCGUUUGGAGAUAAUAGGUUGGAAUCCAUAUUGAAGAGUUAGUAAAAUGGAGUAAAACCAAACGCGUGGACUCAUGUUGCCUGGGUUAGGAGUGGAAGAUUUGGGCUUUUUCGCCGCCAUUGUUGGGUACGAGAUUUCUUGUUUACCGUCGCAACGUGGUUCCUGGCCUUGCUAAUCUGAUGAUUUUGGUGGCGGAUUCAAACUGGGUUCUGUGAAUGAUUCUCUUCUUUUUUCCCCUCCACACAAGAUAUCGCGGUUUCAUUGCGUUUCGUCUUCGUAUCUUCGUUAACUAGAACCACGUUGUUUUCUUCUCCUCCGUUUUAGACCGGGUCAAGAGACAAUGACGGCUCAUUGCAUGUUUGGGUUUCUAAACGGUUAAUAGUUAGCUUAACCGAACCGAACAGAAUUAAUAUUAAUUGAAUUAAUUAAAAUUUUUAAUUAUUAAGUAGUUAAUUGAACCAAAUUUUAAAAAAAAAAUUAACUGAACUGAAAUAUUUCAGUUAAUUUGAUCGGCUAAGUGAGAUUUAUAUAUAUAUUUGUUUAAUGUUCAUUUGACUGAAUUAAACGAUAUAUAAUUUGUAUUAUUAAUUAUUAAGUUCAGUUAAUUCGAUUAAUUAUCUCAUUUCGAACUAAAUUAAAGGAUAACCGAACUUCUAAAAAAUCAUUAAUCGGCCUCCGACCUAAUUAGAUCGGUUAACUAACCGAUUAACCGAAUUAGAUCGAUCCGACCGAUUAAUUCGAUUUUAACUGAAAUUUGAACACCCCUAUUUAAAAUUACUCUAACUUUUUAAAAAAAAAUUUAUUUAUUAAGGUUUUUAUUUUUUAUUUUUUUUGAAAUAAUAAGAAAUAUAAAAUUUCAUAUUCACAAUAAAUAACAUGCACAAAAUGUACCUCUAAAUCUGAACAAUUCUUAUCCAAUUUAAUUAUGUACUUGAAAUAGAGGUGCUCCAAAAAAAUUUCGGCCCGCACCCUAGGUCCGGGCUCAACCUGAAAUAUGGGCCUGAGAUUUUUUCCAGGCUCGGCCCGGGAAAAAAUUCCUAAGCCCGAGCCCAGCCUGGCCCGGCCCUUUUUUUAAUAAAACACUAAAAAUUUAAUUUAAAAAUAAAAAAAUUUAAAGAAAGUAUUUUAAAAAUAUUUUAAAAUUAAAAAAUAAAUAUAUAUUUAUUAUAUUCGGGCCGAGUCAGGCCCAGGGCAAAAAAAGUGGUGCUCAAGGUCCGGCCCGUUUUCUAAAUGGGCCUCAUUUUUUUACCCAAGCCCAUAUUUCAAGCUUAUAUUUUUACCCAAACAUUCUCAUAUUUCAUGCGGACCGUCGGGCCGGGCUGCCCGGCCCAUGAACACCUCUAACAUGAAAUAGAUUUUUUUGAAAUUCUAAAGAAUGUAUCCCAAAAUCCAUUAAAUAUGGGAGUGGGCCCAAAAAUAUUGAAAAUGAGAGGCCCGAAAACUAAAGAUUAAUAUUGAAAAUUUAGAACAUAUGCGGUGAGCGUGGAUCGAACACGCGACCUUCAGAUCUUCAGUCUGACGCUCUCCCAACUGAGCUAUCCCCGCUGAUGAAUUUUUUUCCUAAAACUCUAAAUACUAUUUAUAGUGUCUCCAAUGUUAUGCUAAGUUCAAAUUUGUUCUCCAUUUAGACAUUGAUAAAAAAAACUAGACCAAUCUUAAUGCCUUUUCUCCCUUUAACGACUAGAAAUUUAGAAACGAAAGAAGAAGAGUGGGUAAGAGAUGAGCGUUUAAACCAGAGCAUGAAUGAGCUUUUGCAUUUUUUGCUUCUUUCUUUGUUGACGACGCCUACUUUAAGAUUUGAAGAAGAGUGUGAAAUUGCAGAGUUGAAGAGGAAGAAGAACAUGGCGGAGAAAGACCAUUCAAACGUCACGUUGUUGCCGCCUUACCCAAUUCAUCAAUAUAUAUUUUCCCCCUUUUUAUAAUUAUUUACUUUUAUUUAUUGUUUUUUUAAAUUAUCACCCUUGAAUAAUUAUUUUGGAUUACAAAAAAAAAAAAUAUUUUUAGAAUGUGAUUAUUAGAAAAGUCACAUUAUAAUGAUUUAAGUUAAAAAGUAUGAAUUAAAAUUUGAAAUUAUCAAAUUUAUUUUACUAAACACUUUUUUUAAAAUAUAAUAUUGAUGUAUUUAAUAUUUCCAUAAACUUUAUUAUUAACAAAGGUUUGAAUUAAAUAUUAAACAAUAAUAUUUUAAUUAGUCAUUUAAAAAAAAUCUUUUAACUUAUAAUUUUAAUUAACAACAAAAUUAUUUCAAAUAUAUUCUAAGUAUAACCGUGCAUAUCUACAACCAUUAAUUGAAAGAAAAUAAUACAUUAUUCCUUUCAUAAUGCUUCUUGCAACUACUCAAUAAAUAACUGAAACUGAUUAUUUUAAAUUUGGAUUCCUCUAAAUUAGUUAUGAUGGUUGUAACAAAACAGAUCUACUAAAUUAUGUUCUGUAUAUAAAUAACAUGAUGAUCUAUAGAAAAAGAGGUGAAGAAUUUUUUACAAACCUUCUUUUUCUCCCUUACCUUUAUUUAACGGAAACUAUGUUGGGGCCUCCCCAAAAUUUUUAGAAUUUUUCUCAGAUUAAUCCCUCAACCUUCUUCUUAUCAUAAUAGCAAUCAUUACAUACAUCAAUCCUCGUAAGUAACACCAUUAGCCUUUUUUUUUUAUUUGUGGCAAAACUAGCCAACUUUGUAGUAGCAUGUGUAUUAAUGAUUAUAGAUAUGUUAAUUUAAUUAAGGUUAAAUUAUAAAAAUUGUAACACCUCUAACCUGUAUUCAUCGUCGGAACAGAGUUACGGAGCAUUACCAGAGAUUUCAUAUAAUAUAACAUUUAUGUCAGAAACUAAUCAAAAUCAAACAUAUUGUCCCUUAUAUGAGCCCUCGAGGCCCAAAACACGUGUUAAAAAUAAGUCAGGAUUAAAUCGGGUACUCAAAGAAUUUUUCAGAAAACAUUGAAAAUUUCAAAGCUGCAGGGGACACAUGGCCGUGUGGCCAGACUGUGUGAGUAGAGGCACGCCCGUGUCUUAGGCCGUGUGGGCAUUCGAAAUAAGGACACACGGCCGUGUCCAACCUGUGUCCGUACUCGUGUAACUCCCUGACUUGGGUCACAUGGCCAAGCCACACGCCCGUGUGCUAGGUCGUGUGUGCAUACUGACUUGUGUAAUUUAAAUGAUACAGGGGACACAUGACCGUGUCACUUAGCCGUGUGUCACACACAGUUGAGACACACGCCUAUGUCUCUACCCAUGUGGACGAAAAUAGAUCAUUUUCUAAGCCACAUUUCUCACCCAAAUUGAUACGAACCUAACCUCAAGAAUUUACACAUCAAUAAGCCAUAACAAGACAUUCAACACAAACUAAAAUCAAGCCUUAUACAUGUAAUACUACCAUAUAAAACCAAUAUACUCAUAAGUACCUCCAAUGACAACUUAAAAAUAAGUCCACCAAUAUCCAAACUUACCUAUUUAAUUUACCUAACUAAGUUACCAAAGUUCAUUAUAAUUCAAUUACAUACAUACAUAUAACACUCAUACUCAUAUCACAAUAUACCUCAUUCUCAUACUAAUAUGUAAGUUGGUUAUUUAAACAAAAUAUCUAUUGUAACACCCCUAACCCGUAUCCGUUGCCGAAUUAGGGUUAAGAGGCAUUACUAAUCAAAACAUAACUCAGAACAGACAUUCAUUAAAGUUUAAUAAUUAUAACAGUUACAUAUGAUAAGCUAGGUCUAAUAUUAAACAUGCAAAAUUUUAAGCUUCUCUUUUGACCAUUUAAAACAAAACAAAGACAUUACAAACUAGCAAAUCCAUAAGGAAAUAAACCAUUUUCGUAUGGCUAUUAAAUUCAUAUACAAUAUAACAAAUUACGACCUUCAAAAUAUUUAUCUAGUCUGUACAUGCCAUAGUUAGAAUUUAAACAUUUUAAUACUGAGACAGUAGAUAGAAUGAUGAUCUUGCUAACGAUCCCCGAGCUUGAAGCUUGAUCUUUAAGUCUAUAAAACGGAAAGAUAUAAACAAACAAAGUAAGUUUUUAUAGCUUAGUAAGUCUAUAGCAUAACUAAACAUAUAUAUAUAUAUAUAUAUAAUAUAACUUUUAAAUUUAAUUCAUUGAGAUUGCAAUUAGCACAUAUAACUGAUAUUCAUAGAUAUGCUGUACUCAGACCAUUUUAUUUAUAGUCAAAUAUAUAUACCUGUCGAAUGCAUUCAACUGAAUAUAUGUAUAUUUAUACCAAACGACAUUAUAAUUGAAUGUAUAUAAUCGAGCAUAUAUAUAUGUUAAAUACAUAUCAUAUCCGAUUGUGUAUGUAUACUUAUGAUAAACUUAUAACCAAAUACAAAUCUAAUGCAUAUGACCGAAUGCAUUCAUCUCCAUCAAAUACUUAUAAACAAAGGUAUAUACAUCUCAAUUUCAUAUGUAAAUACUUAUCAAAUACAUAUACCAAAUAUUUAUACGUAUACAUUUAUCAACUACAUAAACUGAAAACAUAUAUGUAUAUUUUACAAAUGCAUAGAUCGAAUAUAUACAUAUUCAUUAAACACACUUAACUGAAUGUAUAUAUGCUCAUCAAUUAAAGAUAACCAAAAUCAUAUAACUGUACACUUAAUCACAUACUUUAAACAGAUUCACCGGCACUUAGCCUGCUAGGCUUAAAGCCUGAUUCAGUACACCGGCAUUAAGCCUGCUAGAUGUAAAGUCUGAUAUUGUUUUACCGGCAUUAAGCCUGCUAGACGUAAAGUCUGAAAUUAUUUCACCGGCAUUAAGCCUACUAGACGUAAAGUCUGAUAUUGUUUCACUGGCAAUAAGCCUGCUAGGCGCUAAGCCUGAAAUCUCAAUUUCACAUACACAAAAUAAUUCCUCGAAAAAUUCUUAAUAGCAAACACAUGUUUGUUGUAGUACAUGUUCAAUCAUAAAAGAGUUUACAAAUCAUACUUUAAAUUCAAUUCAAGUAUUUAUAAAUUUAUAAACAUAUAUAUAACCAAACCUCACAUAUAAAAAUAUAAGAUUUUAUAUCUUUAAUUCAAUCCAAGAACCUAUAUAUGAAUAUACAUAUAGAUAUACUCGAACUCCCAUGUACGUAUUUAACAUUUAUACCUUUAGCUAAAAUCAUAAACUCAUACAUGUAUAUACAUUUAUAUUCGAAUCUAUAUGUAUAUAUAUACACAUUCUUGUCUUUAUUUCAUAAUUUAUUCAUGUAUAUAUAUAUAAUUACUUAACUAAAUUCAAUACAAGAAAUUUACAUAUAUAUAUACACGCUUAUUUGAAAAUAACAUAUAUAUAUUUAAUUUCAUACCUAAGUCCAAUAUAAAAACAUAUACAUGUAUAUUCAUACAUAUUCAAAACUCCACAUGCAUACUUAACAUUCAUACCUUAAAAUAUAUUCAAGAUUUAUUCGAGUAUUUUCAUAUACAUUCCAACCCACAUAUACAUACUUAUUCGAAAUUACCUAUACAAUUACAAUACACAUACCUUUAAUUAAACCAAGAAUUUAUACAUGUAUAUACAUAUAUGUAUUCGAACCUUGUGUAUACAUAUAUAACCCUCGCACAAUCAACUAAAUUUAAGAACAUAUACAUAUAGAUGCCAAUAUAAAUAUUCGAACAUUAUAUAUAUAUAUAUAUAUAUAUAUAUCUAUAUGCCAUUCAUACUUUAACUUAAUUCAAAGAUUUAUAUAAGUAUACACCUAUAUAUUCGAACAUUGUAUAUACAUAUAUACCAUUUAUACUUAAUUUAUUCAAUCAAAUUACUUUUAUUUAUAGCUCAACAAAAAUACAAUAGACAUACAUACAUACAUACUGAUUUAAUAACAUUAAAUAGCUAAUAGACUUACCUCGGACAGUGAAAAAUCGAAACCGAACAAUUAGUCGACGACUUUAGCUUUCCCCGAUCCAAUUCCUAUUUCUUUGGUUCUUGAUCUAAAUAUAUUCAAAAUGAGCUAGUUUAAAUAUUAUUACAUUCAAUUUAGUCCAAAAACACAUAAAUGGGAAAAUUACCAAUUUGCCCCUGAUAUUUACACUUUUUGCAAUGUAGUCCCUAUUGCAUAAAACACAAAAUACACAAAAUUUGCCCACACUAUAUGAGGGCUGAAUAUUCCCAGUACUCCUACAAGUCCACACAUUUCAUUUAUUUUACAUUUUAGUCCCCCAAAAAUUUAAUUUCACAAUUUAGUCCUAAUUACUCAAUUUCACCAAAAAUUCAAAGACAAAACAUGUUAAUCUUUCACAUAUCUUUCAUAUUUCAUCAUUAACUAACAAAAAGCUCAAGAAUUCAUCAAUGGCAUAACACAAAAUCAACACCAAAUUCUAAAAUUAAAGUAUGGGUCUUGUAGUACACAAAGCAACGAUCUCAAAAACGUAAAAAUUUUCAAAAACCGAACAAAAACGAACCUCUAAUUUUGGAUGAACAUAGCCGAACCUUUCAAAGCUUCCAUGGCUUUUUCUUCUCCUACUUUCGGCUAAAGAAGAUGAAGGCAAAUGUUAUUUUUAUGUUUUAAUUAACAUAUAUAUUAAUAUUUAGCCAUUUACUUAAUUAACCUUGGUUUCUAAAUAUAUAAUAUAUAAACAUUAAGGCUAAUUUAGUCCAUAACCAUCCACUAUCUAUAUAGUGGGUUAAUUGCACUUUUAAGCCUCCUAAUUGAAAAGACAACCACAAAUAGAUGCUUUUAAAUUAAAACCCUAAAUUUUCAUUUUACGCAAUUAAGCCCUUUUUAUUAAAUUGAGCACUCAAAAGAUCAAAUUUUCAUACGAAAUUUUCACACAUAGUAAUUCACAUACUGCAAAUACCAUAAAUAAUUUUAAAAUAUUUUUCUAACUCGAAUUUAUAGUCCCAAAACCAUUUUGUCCGAUUAGGGUCAAAAUCGGGCUGUUACAUCUAUCAUAAUAUUUUCACAAGACAAGCCUUGAGUAAUCCAUACAAAAACCUAUACAUGCCAUAUAAACCAUAUUGAACGUUUCAAAAACUACUGGAAUAAGUUGGAUAGUGUGUCUUGAGUGUUGAUCCGAUCGUCCAACCUUCCGAAAAUCUACAAGGACAUUAAAUAACGCAAAUAUGCUUAAUGAAGCUUAGUAACUUCGACGAAAUAAAUAAAAAUCUUAUCGAACUAACUAUAAUAAAUCAAAUAAUAAAAAUCAUUCAUGAUAACUCCCUGUCAAUCACAACUUCAAUCGAUGCAUACAUCCAUUUUCAAGUCGUUACCAAAAACAAAUAACAUGUCUUUAAAUUUCAAUAAAUAAAUCACCUUAUCGAAUCUUUCCCAUUCAACAACUUACAGAUAAGAGUACAUCGUUAACAGAAGCUCAUAAGAGUUGGGUCUCCCAAAUACGCCAACAGAAGCUUGAAAGCUGAACAGGAGCUCGUAAGAGCUGAACAGAAAGUAAAACAGGAGAGUUCGCAACAAAUGCUGAACCCUGGUUUACUUGGGUAUUUUUCCGAUAUCAUCCUCCAAUACUGUCAUACGCCAAAUCACGAAUGUACUCAAAUCUCACAUUCCAUCCAAACUGAAUAUCCAAUUUAAUAUUAUAAUUCCAACAAUGACUCAUUUCCAAAUAAUAAAAUAAAAUGCAUAAUAUCGUUCAUCAAAUUUGUACAAAUAUAAAAUUUUAACCAUACGAACUUACCUAGGCUAAAUUGUAGCAAUUGUAGAAGUUGAGGGACUAUUCUGCUAUUUUUCUUUUUUCACGAAUUUCUACGGGAUCUUAAUCUAAAAUAUAAAAUUACUCAUUCAUUAGCAUAUAUUUCACUUCUAAUUCAUUUCACAAUUAAUACCCUUUUAUUAACUGAAAUGGCACAUUAAAUAAUCAUGCUAAUCAUGAACACAUUCAACAUUCUAUAAUCGAUUUUCAUUUUAACUUAAUAACCUAGAUAGAAAGGCUACCUAAACAUUCGAAUAGGUCAUAAACAUAAAUAUGUCAUUUACUAAAUCCAUGCUAAGAUACCAUCUAAGCUCAUCAUAACACACAACCAAGCUUAAACAUAAAACAAGUAUAAUGCCUAGCAUAUACCAUCCCAGAAAAUAACUAAGCAACUAUCAUGCUAAUCAUAAGUUGACCAUUGCCUUCACACUUAUAAAUAUUCACAUAGUAUCCAAAAUACAAUCAAGCUACAAAAUAAUCAUAUCAACCAAAGAUCUCCUAGGUACAUGACAAGACCAAAAUAGAAACAUCACCAAAACUUGAGUUCGGGAUCGUUGUUGGAUGUUGAGUCAGUGCUAGAAUUACUAUGUAACUAACCUGCGCACGAGAAAAACAAUGUACGCUAAGUAUAACUUAGUGGUGAAUCUACUAUCCAAAUAAUUUAUUAUAAUACAGAACAUUAAAUUACUUAUUUUAAAAGAAAAUAUGCAAUAAGAAAAAUGCAAAGAAACAUAUAAUUUUUCACCCUUCUUUCAUAACUUCAUUAUUCAAUUUAAACAUGAUUAUUUCAUGAACCAUCACACUUUCUUUUCAUACAUUCAAUAUAUAAAAUUAUUUAAAGUUCACAACCAUCUUUAUUUCCAUUCAUUUCUCAUACCAUAAUUCUGGGUUCUAUGUCAUUUUCAAUUUCAUCUUUCCAUUUCAUUUUCCCCCAUUAACAUGACUUGGACUCGGAUACACGGAUCCAAACAACACACCAAAGUUUGACACCUAGUGCCUAACAGAUAAAUCCGUAGAAAUGAAUUGCGCCCUCGCUGGCUGGUAAACUGACAAAUAGAUGUGCCCAGCACUAGUCAGUAUAACCGAAAAAUGGGGUGCCCAACACUCCCCGACAUGUAGUCGUAAAACCCUGAACUCUUUCUAUCCUAUGGCAUGCCAAUUAUACUCGACCCUGCCCGAACAAUUAAUCGAGUAACAAUGUUCUCAAUACAAUUUGUAAUCUCUUUUCAUAUCAUGAAUUCAUCCAUUCAAUCAUUCUUUCAUAUACAUAACCAACCGUUUCAUGUUCAUAUAAAAUCCUAUAUCACAUACAAUAUACAAUAUUUUUACAACUAUGAAAUUUAUACCUUGUCACUAAUAAUCAUUCAAUCAUCUCAUCUCAUUUCAAUUCAAAUUCACAUCUCAUAGUAGUAUUUCAAAAGACUAACUCACCUUAUAUGUACUUACCAAAUAAUGCAAUGUAUAAAUGCAAUGUUUGUAAAUAGUUUGGAUUAUAGAAAUGCAAACUGUAAAUUUUGAGCUAUUCGUCGUUGACUUUGUCUUUUCCUUUCUUUCUCGAGGAUUUCGGGACAGCGCUAGCUACGGAUGAAACAAUUAAAAUAAAUUAACAAUACACAACUCAAUUCACGUUCAAUUACAAAAUUUAUACUACUUUUGCAUGAAAUUCAAUUUAGUCCAUGAAACCGGGACUAAUAUAACUUCAUAACUAACCCUCCAACAUUAGGCUGAAUUUUCCUAGAGUCCCUAUAGGACUUCCUACUUCUCAAUUAAAACCCUAAAUUUGAAUUUUGCGUAACUUAGUCCUUUUUGCAUAAAAUUAUCAAUCGACUUUACAAUAUAGUUCCAUUUCACAUACAACCUUAAAAUCUAUCAAAAUAACACCAAGAACUUAGAUUUCUCUACAAUGGCAACUUCCAUAAACUUCAACAAUUCCAAAAAUUUCAACAUGGGUAAGCUAAAUUAUGAACUUGGGGUACCAAAAACAUCAAGAUUACAAGAAAAGAGACUAACUUAACUAACCAAAUACAAUUUGAAAAGCUUAAACUCCCUUGGCUGUUUUGUCUUCUUCUUCUCCCUAAUGUUUUGAAUUUUUCAUGCAAUUUGAGAAAGAAACUUUCUCUUACAAUCCACUAAGUUUUACUUACCUUUAGUUUUUAUUUUGUUUAUUAUUUUAACAUAAAGUUUUAACUAAAACUUUGUAAUAUACUAAACAUAUAUAUAUAAAUCAUGACCGCACACUAUACUAACCAUUUAUAUAAUGAUCUAUUUAUUUAAUAAAUCCCUUAAUCAAGUUUCUUCUUAUAACUAUUAUCAAUUUCUACUUUUAUCACUUAUGCAAUUUAGUCCCUGUACUUAAAUUAAACUCUAAUUCCACAAAAUUACCUAAUCAAAAUUCAAUUCACUAAUAAAAUAAUUACUUAAAUAUUAAAUAAAAAUAUUUACAAGUCCGGCUUACAAAAAUAGGGUUUCAAAACUACACUUUUCGGUACCACAGACUCUCAAGUCAUUAUAGUUCGGGACACUUUCGGAUAAAAAAUAAUGCAAAAGAAAAUAGGGACACGACAUCAUGGGGCCAGUAUCGUGAUACUGGAUUCUCUAAUGCUCAUGUCGCAGCAUCUUGUGGCAAGUGUCUCGACCUUGAAUCCUCUUGUGCUAAACAAGUCAAAACUUCUCUAUAUUUGUGUUAAGAUCAAUACCACAUUAUCCAAUACAUAUACCAAUAAAUUUAAAUUCAUAUAAUACUUCAAUCUAUUGAAAAAUACUUCCUUAAUUCAUCAUAUAAAAAUUACUCACUUAAUGUCCUAACAAUUUCAUUUAAACUUCUUUUAUAUAUUAACAAUUCCAUCACUUAUAUCAACUUCUUAGCAUUACAACUCUUCUACUAUUUUCCCUCCUCCUCCUCCUCCUUUUCAUUCCACAUCCUAGAUGUACAUAUAUAAGAAUAUUUGGUUUUUAGUAUAGCAUGCAUAUAUGUAAUAUAAAUUAUUCUUUCACUGAUUACACGAAUACUUAGGGGGUGUUCAAAUUUCAAUUAAAAUCAAAUUAAUCAAUCGAACUGAUCUAAUUCAAUUAAUCAGUCGAUUAACAAAUCUAACUUAGUUUGAGGUUGGUUAAUGAUUUUUGGAAGUUCGAUUAUCGGUUAAUUCGGUUCGAAAUCGGGUAAUUAACCGAACUUAAUAAUUAAUAAUACAAAUUAGAUGAGGUUUUAAUUUAGUUAAUUCGGUCAAAUGAACAUUAUCAAUUUUUUAUAUGUUUUAUACUUGUUUUAACCAAAUAAAAAAAACAUAUAAAUUUUGGUUCGGUUAAAUUUUUUUGAAAAAAUUUUGGUUCGAUUAACGGUUAAAAGAUUAAAAAGUUUGAUUAAUUUGGUUAAUACUAGUUCGGUUCGGUUAAUCAUUUGAACACCCCUACAAAUACUCUUAACAAGGUUUUCUACUUGAGUAUCAAUUACUAAAUUAUUUAUAUCUUGGCCUACAAAAUACAAAAUUAAGAUCCACUUGUUGUUUUUGAAACUAGACUCAACGAAAUUUUUACCGAAUUUUCUCAUAAACCAAUUAAUAUAGUUUUUUCUUCACUUCAUCUCCUGUUCCAUUGCUAGGCAUGUAACAUCCCGCUUUUUAGUGAUGUCGAGAAUGGUGGUUUUGGGGCUACAAAUACAACGAGUGAGUCUGUAAAUAUUAUUAUUUAAUAUUUAUGAGUCAAAUAUGGUAUUAUAAUAAAUUGUGAUUUGAUAAUUUUUGUUAUUUGAAUGAAUAGUUAAGUUAAAGUGGCUUGUCCCUAAAGUUAAGUGGUUUUGAAAAAUGAGGUUUUGGGACUUUGUUUCUAUAAAUCGAGCCCGUAAAUAUUGUUAUUAAAUAUUUAAAAAGUUGCUGUAUGGGUUUAUUUAAGUUCGGUCAAAAACCUUUAGUGAUUUGUUAGUUAACUAAAGAAAAAGAACUAAACUGUAAAAGAUGUAAAAGUUAAUCGAUGUUAAUGUUUAUUAGCUAAAUUUCAUAAUUAUUGUUAGUUUAAGGUUUUAUACUGCAAUUAAACAUAUUUUAAUAGACAUGGACGGUUAGUGGAUGAUUAAAAAAUUUAUAAAAUAUGGUUUUAUGUUUAAAAUUAAAAAGGUUAGAUAAUAAAAUAAAAUAAAAAUUAAGGAAGAAAGAGAAAACACUUUCAUUUUCUUCUUCACCUCACGAAAGCACCAUGGUAGCUUGGGGGAGAAUCAGUCAUUAGGGUUUGAACUUCAAGUUUCUAUUUUGGUGAGUGAAUUUCUUACCCAUUUCUUGUAAUUUUUAUGUUUUAGAGAUCAUUACAACUAGGUCAGUUAACCCGUAUCUCCGUUUUUGAAACUGUUAAAGAUUUUGGAUUUUGUCAUUGAUGAAUCUUUGUUAUUCUUGGUGUUAAAUGAUGAAUUUGAAAUAUUAGUUGUUGAUUAGGACUUUUUUGUAAAGUGAUUUUUGAUAAUUUUAGUUAAAGGACUAAUUUGAUAAAAUGUUAAAAUUGACAUAGAAUUUUAGUGAAUUGUGAAUAAAUAUGGACUUUCCUAGUAUGGGAAUAAAUUUGGCUAGCAAGGUUAUUUGAGAAAUUUUGUUAAAUUUGGAGUUUCAGGUUUGAGGACUAAAUUGUGAAAAAUGUAAAUGUUUAAGGAAAAUGUGUAAAUAAUGAAAACUUAAGGGUGACAUGCAUAAAGGUGAGCUGGAAUAUGUAUUUGAAUUUGAUAAAAUUGAAUUUAAUUAUUAUUAAUCAAGAUUUGAUUCGUACGGAAGAUAAUUGAGGAAAAAGAAAAAUUAUGAAAUAGUCCCUAUGAGUCGAUCAUUGGUAUAUAUUAGGUAAGUUCAUAGUAUAAAGUAUACAUACAUUUUUAUUUUAUAUAUUGUAUUAAUAUAUGUUGAAUUAAUUGUAGUUUAUAUGAAAUUUUGUUAUUAAGUAAUAAAUCCCUAAAUAUUGCAAUUUACUACAAGCAAGAAACAAGUAUUUGAUAAUUGGUGAAUGUCGUGAUUAUAUGUUAUUGAAAUGAGUUUCAUGAAUGUUCAAUAUGUGUUUGGGAAAUUACGAAGUGCCUCUGAUUGUUAAUGUUUGAAUUAAAUUAUCAAAGCCCGAUUGAGCGUAGUAAAUGGUUAGGAUACAAUUGGCAUGCCAAUAGAGUUUGUACGCGUGCUUGUACAAAUUUGUUAAUGUUUGAAUUAAAUUAUCAAAGCCUGAUUGAGCGUAGUAAAUGGUUAGGAUACAAUUGGCAUGCCAAUAGAGUUUGUACGCGUGCUUGUACAAGUUUGCACGUCAAUGCCUCUGUUAACAUUUCGAUGCUCUCUAGUGUGUUUUGGGGAACCUGAGUAUCUGAGUCAUGUUGCUAUAGUUCACCGGGAUAUGAAAAUAUGAGUCUAAUGUUGAAAUAUUGAUGUAUACCGUUUGAAUAUUGUAUCAAGAAUGAUCUUGUAAUAUGUUUCAUAUUGAUGAUUAUGUUAUUAAAGGUAGGUUUUAUAUACAUAUAUGAAUUAGUUUGGAUUGAAUUAUUAUGUAACAGGAAUCAUAUAAUGAACCAUUUUCAGUACUAAUCCUAUACGUGUCUUGUAAAUGAUUGACAGGUUUGAUUAAUCUAAUUUAUUUAGUUUUCACAUUGUUUAAUUGAAGUAAGUGAUUUGGGGAUGAUAUGUUUAUAUGAAUUAUUGAAAAGAAAUGUCAUAUACAGAAUGAUUAUGUGUUAAAUGUGCAAAUGAAAUGGUAAGAUGAAAUGAUUAAAUGAAAUGCUUAUAUGGAAAUAUUUAUGAAAUGGUUAUUGAAGUGUUUAUACAAAAUAUUUAUAAGAAUAUAAAUAUGGGAAAAGGGACAUUUAAAAUGAAUACUUGAAAUAAAUAUGUUAAAUAUUAAAUGAGUAUUUGAUGAUUGGUUUAUAUACCAAAUGUGCUUUUCAUGUAUAUGUUUGAUAAUAUGAUAAAGUUACAUAUUUUAUAUAUGAACUCAAUAACUUUAUGAGACUUGUUUUGUGUAUAGGUAAUUAAUGAACUUAUGACCAUGAUGUUGAAUUAUCUUGUAAAAUAUUUACAUCUUUUACGGUAAGUUAAAGUUAAAGUUUAUUAUGAACUUACUAAUCUUUACGCAAGCUUACCUCGUUUUGGUUUUUCUUCCUCGAGAUUGUCAGAUACAAGCUGUCAAUUGGAUUGGCUUUGGAGAUUACACUAUCUGGCAACUUGAUCUAUAACCAUCUGUUCACUUUGGUCUGGUUAUAAGUGGCAUAUAAAUAGGAUUUCGAUAUAUAUAUGUCAUAAGUAUUAUGGAUAUGUUUUGUGUCAAUUGAAGUAUGAGAUGUGUUUAUUGAUGUGAAUCUUAAUUAGUAUUUUGGUUGAUUGUGGUGUGUGAUGGUAAUGGUAUGUCUAUAUAAAUGUUUUUGACCAUUUGUUAUAUGCCUUAUGGAACUAGUUUGAUGUUUGGUUCAUUGGAUGUAAAUGAAAUAUAUGAAUAGAUAUGUUUGUUGUUUUAUAAAAUAAGAACAUGUGUAUAUUGAAUGUGAGUUUAGAUUAGUGUUUAAAUUGUGGUGCAUAUUGGUUAUGCACAUAGGUUGCAUGUUUUUGGUAUGUUUUUGGCAUGUUUAGAUGUGUUUUGAAUAGGUGAAUAGGGUUGGAAAUGGUUUGAUUUGGUUUUUAAGAAACGGUGCAUGAAAUUGCUUGUUUUGGAAGUUAUUUUAGGUGCACAUGGCCUGGGACACAAAUUGUCACACGGUAUGUUUACACGGCCGUAUGUAUUGUUAAUUUGAGGUGCAGGUUUGACACAAUCUGGCACACGGCCUGUGACACUACCAUGUGACCACAUUUCAAACACUCACACGGGUGGGCAUACGGGCUGAGACACGACCGUGUGACCCAUAUUUCGAAUUGUACAUAGUUUGGCCACACGACUUGUCCCUGAGCCACACAGCUUGAGCUCUGUCACACGGCCUGGCCAUAUGACCGUGUGACCCUUGUUUUCAAAUUUUUUCAUGUUUUCUUUUUUAAUUCAAAUUGGUCCCUAGAUGAUUUCAAAGUCAUUUUUAUGUCCUGUAUGCUCGUUUAAAAUCUCGUAAUUGUGAUUAUGCUAUGAAUGAAAUGUAGAUUCAAAUGUUGUAUUUAAUUUAAUAAAUGAAUAGUUUAAUGAUGUAAAUUGUUUUGUUAUAUGCUGUAAUACUCUGUAACCUUAAUCUGACGACAGAAAGAUGUUAGAGGUGUUACAAGACAACUUUGACCCUUCACUAAAAAUCAUUUAUCUUUCAGUACAAGAUUCAUAUAAUGUUGCCUUUUUUUUCUUAAAAUAGACACAUUAACAUUUUAUAAAAAUAAAUUUCAUAUCCUAAACAUUUUUUUUACAAUUUUUAAUGAUCUUUCAUAGUCAGAAUAGGGGAACCCGAAAUCAAUCUAACCUUGUCUCACUUAAAUUUAUUUAUCUCAUGAUCUACAAUUCCAUUGCUUAUACCAUUUCUUAUAUACAAAACUAGACUAAAUAGACUUUAAUUAUUAUUUGGUUCAACCUCUAACUCAAUUUCUAAAUUUUUUUAUUAAUAUUUCAAAGUUGAGCUACUGCUAUUGUUCAGAAACUGUUUUAGUAAAAAUAUUUACUUUGCCAUGAUUCUUUGCAUUAGCUUUCAAUUGGAUGUAUAUAAUCAUUAUACUUUUGAUUAUUGGUCAAUUUAGUCACACAAUUUCAUAUGUUAGUAACAUAUUCAUUUCUUUAUCUUAACAUUUCUCAUGAUACAAAUUAUAUCUCUCUUUUUCUCAUAAAAAACUUCAUGUCUUUAUAUAUCAUUGAUUCUAAAAAUACCUUAUAUCUCUACUAUUUUGACUAAAUUCUCAUAUAAUACAUUCAAAUCACAACAUAUCCAACUUAAUUUUUUGAAAUACAAAUAAAGUUAAUAUGAAAAAUUACCUCUUUAAUCAAGAAUUUCCUCCCAUUUUCUUCUCUUCCCUUUUCUUCCUUAAUUACAUGACUAUCCUUCUCUUUUUUUCUAAUUUUCUUCACUUCCACCUACUAAUUUCUUGCUUUUAAAUUGAUGAACAUACUCUCUAGAGUCUCUACUUAAUUUUUCCUCGUUGGUGCCUAUGAAAAUUUCUGAGAAUUUUGAGAGAAAUAGUGAGAUUAUAUGGAAAAGGACCAAAUUGUAAGAAAUGAAAACUUCUUCCCCCUCUUAUAAUGCCGGUGGCAUUGAAGCAUCGAUAAGUAUGAAGAAUUUUCUUCAUAUUUCUAUACAAAUAUCUUAAAAUAAAGUAUUAUGGUAAAAUAUUAAUAAAAUAUUCUAACCAAUCAUGUUCUAACACCAUUUUCCACUAAUUAUUAUCAUGGUAGUUCAUGAUAAAUAACUAGAUUGAGAAAUGAUCAUUUUUCUCUUUUAAUAUCUUAAUAUUCACUUUUGUUUCAUUUCUUACGUUUGGUAAAAUUCUAAUUUAGUCCCUCUCUUUUUUCACUUAUUUAAUUUGGUCCUUAUUCACCAAAUUAUUUUAUUCUUUAGUCUUUUCCUCCUACAAGGUAUUUGCACUUUUGGUCCUUCAAAAAUUUCCAUAAUUAUAUUUUGACCCCAUGAAUUUUGAAUAUUACAUUAAGGUCACAACACUUUUCACAUUUUUAUGAGUUAAUCCCUACCUUUUAAAGUGGAGAAAAAUAAGUACAUAUACCAAAGUGGACCUAAUUGUCAAGUUCAAGGGCUAAAAGUUAUAUUAACCAUUUAAUUCUAUUUCGCCUUGUACAUUUAACUUUAAAAAGGAUUGAGAUGUAAUCAUAUAUUAGGCAAUAAACCUAAAAUAUUUAGCUGUGAUAUUUAUAGAUUAUUUUUUCAUAUUUAUAUAUGGAAUGCAUAUUGAAAUUAUUAUAAAUGACUAUUAAAUGUUAAAUAAAGUAGGGGUAGAGAGAGGAAAUUAUAGAUGUAUCUAAUAUUCAUGGAGGUGAUAUUCAAAUUUUAAAAUCUACGGUAAAGAGUAGGGACAAACGAUCAUUGCCUCGAAUUUUUUUGAAAAGUUUCAUUAAAUUACUUCAAAGUUAUUAAAAUUUUAAUUAAACUCAUCUAAAAUUUCUAUAAAUUCUCAUUAAAUCUAAUGUCAAAAUCUACCUCUGGCCAAGGGCGAAACUAGGAUUUCAUUAAGGGGACUAAAAUAGCAUAAAAAAAAUAUUUUUGAAACUCCCUUAACCGAAUAAUCUCCUUAACCCCAUGUAAGAUAAACACAAAUUCAAAUGGCGUUGAGCAAAAGUUGGUCCUUGAGCACUUAUGUUAGUAUUUUGAUUGUGUAAUUUAUAACAACUAAGAGUAGCGUAAUUUGCUUAUUUAAAUAUAAUUUUAUUAUAUGUUAGGCAGUUAGAGAAUGAGAAAGAGAAAAAAAAUUCAAGUAGUUAAAUGGUAAAUUAUAAUUUCUAAAGUUUACUCUCCCCUAUCUUUACAAUUAAAAUCAGAUUUGGUAAAUAAUAAAAUAAAGAGGAAUUGAAAAAUAACAAACAAUUGAAUUACCAGUAUUUAACUCUGGAGUUUUCUAAUUGUUGGGGGGACCAAUCUAAAAUUAUUUAUUCUUUUUGACAAGGCACCCUCUAGCCCUCCAGAUGUUCCGCCCCUGCCUCUAACCAAAAGGGAUGAGAGAGAAAUAAUAAAACGAUGAUGAUCUUAACAGUAUCUAUCAUGGUCAAAUAUAGAAAAACCAGAUAAUCAAAAAAUUACUAAAAAAAUAGAUAUACACGUACAUGUCGGUGUUAAAAACAACAAAUAUGUAUGUGUUUGUUCACACGCACACACAUAAACUUGCAUGUAUUAUAUGCAUGGACAAAAUGUAGUGGUUCUAUAAGUCUACCAAUUCCAUGUCAGCAGGAAGAAAAGGUGCGAAUUGGUCAAAUUUUGCAGCUAUGCCAUCUGAUGUGAGAAGCUACCCAGGAGCUGCCUUCAUGGAUGAAGAAUUUUUUUUUUUUUUAAAAUCCCCAGAGUUGGUCCUUUUAUUUAAAUAAAAUUUUAUCACCAAUUUAUAAUAAUUUAGGUAUAACCAUGUGAUGCCACCUAGGAAUAAAUUUACUUUAUUAUUAUAAAAUUUCUAUUGUUUAUGUUUGCAUUAAGGGUUUCUAAUAACGAGGUUUCAACAUGUGAUUCAUUACAUUCAAUAUCUCAUUAUAUUAAUUAACAAAAGUAUGCCUAUAAUAUAUAUAUAUAUAUAUAUCUUUGUCGGAUUAAUAUUGUAUAAUUUUAUAGAUAAUCGAUGAACUAAAUAUUAUUGCAUCAUUAAAAAUGUAGUUAAUUUAAUUUUAAAAUCUUUUUAUAUACGUAUCAUCUGAUUGAUUGAGAGUAAAAAUAAUAAUAAUUAGUCCUUGCAUGAUGUGUAACUUCAUAAUCUUUAGAGCUUAGGCAACAAUGAUUUUGAUGGAUAAAAUCGAAAUUAUAAAAAGAAAAAUAGUGAUAAGGAACCAAAUUUUGGUAAAGAAACAUAGAAUGGGCUGAAUACAUCAAUUUAUGCAAGCAAGCAACACUUUGUUUUGUGACCAUUGCUACUGAUUAACCAUCUUGAUGUUGCAUAAAACUAAUAAUGCAUAGUCUCUCACAUCAUAUUUCUUUCCAUAUGAGAUUGAUGAAUUGAAUUAGUAAAAACAAUUUGUCGGUCUUUUUUAAUUUUAAUAUUGAGUAAAUUGAUUUUUUUUUUAAAUCGAAGUAAUUUAAUUUCUUUCAAUUUCGAAAAUGAUAAAUUUAGCCCCUAAAAGUUAUACAUUUUGUCUAUAUAUAUAAUUUUGAAGAUAAAGUUUUUCUUAUAAAUUCUUUUGAUUGUUUUAGAACUUUCAAAAUUAUAUACAUUUUUUUAAAUUGGGGCUAAAUUGAUAGAAUAUGUAAAUAUUAAAAGCUUAUUUUUUUUAUUAUAUCAAUGAAAAUUAAGUACAAUUGAUGGAAAAAGUUAAUCGAUAUAAUUAAUUGUCCUUAGUUGUUUACUUUUGAAAUUAACGUGGAUUAAAUUGCUCCAAUUUUUUUAAAAAGGAUUAAUUUGUUCAAUAUCAAAAUUAAAAAAGACUAAAAAAAGUGUUUUUAUCAACCAAAUUCUUAAAACCUAAACCUUUAACCCCAAAUGAACAAUUAAAAAAUUUAAAAAGAAAAUAAAAAAUUAUGAAAUUAAUUUUUUUUAGAAUUGAAAUACAGAUACAAAUAUAAUCACAAUUACAAUAGUGACAAAAACCAACAUUGAAAAACACAAUGGAACUAGUAAUUAGAAUAGUUCCGAAGAUUUAAUUAGAGUAAAACCAAAACUAAAACCCAUAGGUACACAAUGUGAGGCCAUUAAGUGAAGUGGAACAUCAUUUAGCUCUUGAUAUACAAAACGUGUAAAAAUGUUAUUUUAAAAAGAAAAAACGCAUGAACUUCGGAUCUUGGAUUUCAAAGUCGAGAAUAAAAAAAGAGAUGACAACCACGCGUUUGCAUUAUUAUUGAUAAGGGUGAUCAAAGAAUCAUAUCAAAAUAAUAAUGUUUCACACUGCCCUAUGCCAGAUAUGCUCAAAUGCGCAACUUGCAACCCCAGCUAUGAGAAUACCUCUAUUUAAAGGAUCUUCUAUGGAGUCUCUUACAGUACCUCAAUUUCCUUUCAAAUAAUAAUCCAUCUUUUUAAAAAAAGAAUGUCUUCGUUUCAAAUGAUUACUACCCUUUUCCUGCUAGCAAUGAUGGUGGGGACAUCUAAUUCUCAACUCAGUGCCACAUAUUACGCCAAAACCUGCCCCAAUGCGUCCAGCAUUGUUCGGAGUGUGCUGCAGCAAGCUGAACAAAAUGACAUUUGGAUAUUUCCCAAGCUCAUUCGCCUUCACUUUCAUGAUUGUUUCGUCCAUGUAACAACACAAUAUUUGCUCCAUUAUAUAUAUAACUCAUACCAAAAUGUAUAUACAUGCAUGCACUAACGGUGUACUUGCAGGGUUGCGAUGCCUCGCUACUGCUGAACGGUACGGACAGUGAGAAAACGGCAACCCCGAACCUUUCGACGGAUGGAUAUGCUGUUAUCGAUGAUAUCAAAACAGCGUUGGAGAAAGCUUGCCCUCGCGUCGUCUCGUGUGCUGAUAUUUUGGCCCUGGCUGCUCAAAUUUCUGUUUCCUUGGUAUGUUUUUUGUUAUUAAUGCUGCUGAUCUUUUGCAUUGAUCCAAUUAGCAGUAGAACAAUGUUAUUUAAUGAGUGUGUUUGGUUUGCAGGGUGGAGGUCCAACAUGGAAAGUCCCACUAGGAAGAAGGGAUAGUCGGACCGCACACCGGGAAGGAACUGGAACCAUCCCCACCGGACAUGAGAGCCUUGCCAAUAUUGCAACCCUGUUCAAGAGCAUGGGACUUGAUUCCACUGAUCUAGUCGCUUUGUCCGGUAUGCACAAACAUUAAACCCGAGCCUAAGCACAUGGAAUACACUCGAUGAACAAACAUUUAACAUGUUUCAUUUUUCAUGAAAUACUCAUUGGUUCUCAGGUGUUCACACAUUUGGAAGGGCUCGAUGUGCUGCAUUUAUGGACCGCCUCUACAAUUUCAAUAACGUAUCAGGGAAAAUUGACCCGAUCCUCAACGGGACAUACGCGAAAACACUUCGACAACUAUGUCCCAAAGGCGGAGACGUUACGAGUUUGAUCGAUCUCGACGAACAAACUUCGCUUACGUUCGACAACAAGUACUUUUUGAAUCUUCAAAACCGUAGGGGACUGCUUCAAACCGACCAAGAACUGUUCUCCACAAAAGGGGCUGAAACUGUGGCCAUUGUCAACAGGUUUGCAAGCAGCCAAAGCCAAUUCUUUAAUAGCUUUGCAAAGGCCAUGAUAAAGAUGGGGAACAUAAACCCCUUGACUGGUACCAAUGGAGAGAUAAGGCUUGAUUGCAGAAAGACCAAUUAAAAUAAGUUUAAAGUGUGGGUGAGUUUUUGUUUGUUAUAGUCAUAGGGGUGUGUUUCCUUGAAGCAUGCAAGGAACAUUAUCCUAUGAUGUUUUGUAAUGAUAAUGGUGAAAUUUUAGUUCAUUGUUCGGUCCUAAUGGAAAAAUAAAAUUUAAGAAUCUGAGUUCCAUGGCAGAAUUAGCCAUUCCAAAUUAUGAAAGAUUUGUGAUGUAUUAGACUUGAUAUUUGAUCAACAUUUGUAAGCAAUUAUAUGUCAUAAAUAUAAGAUCGGAAGUCAAAUAUUUUAAGAAAUUUUUAAAAAAAUAUAUAGAAAUAUUAAAAGUUAGAAAAAAAAUCAAGGAUAAAAAUAGAUUUUCAAGUGUUAAUCGGUUUUGGUUUGUUACCCAUUCAAAACUGUUUUUACUAUUUCGAUUAUAUGUUACCAUUUUAACUUUUGAUUCUUCGUCCAAUUGACUGACAUGCAUUUUAAUGCAAUAAAUAUUUGAAUUAGAGAUGAGUGUAUGACACAAAUAUCAUAGUUCUAAAAUUAGUUUGUAUUUACAAAUUUAUAAUGUUGGUUUUUAAAAAAAAAAUCAUUAAUGAAUUGAAAAAGUAAUAUAAUUACAAACUAUUUCUAAAAGUAAUCAGUUAUAUUAAUGUUAUUUAAUUUAAAUUAUUUAAUAUUUAAUAUUAAAUUCAUUAUAGUUUGAAUAUUAAUAUCAAUAUAUUAUAAUUUAAAUAAUAUUAUUAAUAAUUUCUUAUGGAUUAUUUAUUUAAUUUAUAUAUUGUUAAAUUAGUUUGUUUUAAUGUAAAAAAUGUUAAUAUUUGAUUUUUUUUAUAAUUUUAUAAUUAUCUUUUCUCUAUUUUAAUCAACAAAUGUAAUUAACUUUUAUUAUAUUUUUAAUAUAAUAUUAAUUUGAUAAAUGUUAUUAACAUGUGUUAUUUUUCUAUAAAAGUGUUAAUAAUUAAAUGAAUUGUUAAAAUAUAAUUUAAGAAAGCAGUAAAAGAAAACAUUACACAUAGUUAAAAAUUAAAUGAGUUACGGUUAAAAUUUGUAAUAAAAUUAAUUUUAAAAGACAAUCACAAUGAUGGAUGGUAAUAGUUGUAUGAUUCAAUUUAAAUAUAAAUAUUUUAUAAAAAUAAUACUACGUAAUAAAACCUGUGUACUGUAGGAAAAUUUAAAUGAUUUAAGAGAAUAAGUCUGUGUAUUAAAAUCUAGUCAUCUUAAAGGAAAUAAGAAGGAUUCUAAAAUCUUUAAUUAUUAUAUAGUACCACAUCAUCAAAUUCUCUACAUAUGACUUUACUCUAAUUUGAACAUUAUUCUAACUUAUGUCGAAACCAUUUUUUGAAAAAAAAAAAUUUAGUUAUCGACUUUAAAAACAAAAAUUGGAGUCGCCACCGAUCCUUGAUUCAGGUGUGAUCGGUUCACUUUAAAAACAAUUUUGGCCUGCGAAAUUUGAGAAAACAGGUUCGGGAGUCAGUUACGCACGAGGAAGGGUUAGCACCCUCGUAACGCCCAAAAAUCGGUACCAAAUUGAUUAUUUAAUGUCUUGGUGUCGAAAAUUAAAAAGAUUUUGUUGAACUCAAAUUUUGAAAUUUGAAAAGGAUAAUCAAUUAUUCAAGUCAUGUGAAGAAAUUGAGACCCAAUACGUUAGGGUACAAUUUCUCAAAAUCCCCGAAUUUGAAUAUCGCUUUUUCAUUAAUUUUUUAAAGAUCUUCAUUUUGAGAAAGCAAUAUGUCAUGCCCAAUGCGUUAGGACAUAACAUAUUAAAUUCCCGAAAAUGAUUUUUGUUUAUAUUUUAAAUAACGAAUAUUCUCGGUUAUUUAGAAUUAACAAAGAAAAUCGGAACCCAAUACGUUAGGGCUCAAUUUUCCUCGAAAAUCCCUAACUUUAAAUAUCGUUUUUAUUUUAAAAACCUUUGAAUCAUAAAAAAAUAAUUUUAAUGUUUUGAUAAAAUCAAAAUAUUUUCUUUAAGAAGUAUAUUAAAAUAUUAAUGCAAUGUGAAACAAAUAUUUUAAUUAAAAUUAUGCAAAUAUGUGUAUUUACAAAAUAAAUUAUGACAUAUAAGUAAAUUUUAAAAUAAAAUGCCUAUGCAUACAUUAAACGUAUAUAUAAAAAUUAUGAAAAUGAGGUAUAAAAUAUGUAUAGGUAUAAAAAAUAUAAGUAAAAUAUAUUUAUAAAAAUAUGAAAAUGUGUGCAUAUGUAUGCGAGACAAAUGCAAAAAAUAUAUUUAAAUACUUAUGAAUAAUGUAUAUACAUAUAUAUAUUAAAAAAAAACGUAUAUAAUUGAAUUUCUUUAAAAUAAAGAAAAGGAUACGAAAAUUAAAUAAUAUAAAAAUAUAUAUGCAUAUGUAUAUAAAACUAAGAAAAAUAAAGUGAUAAUAAAUAUAUAUAUAUAUAAAACAGAAUUGUAAUAAAAAAAAAAACGUACUACAUAUAUACUUAAACAUUUAAUAUAUACAUAUAUAUAUUAACAUACGUGCGGGUGUAUAUAUAUAGGUUUAAAAAUAAUAAUAUACAAUAUAAUAAUAAUUAAUAUAAUGAAAUUAAUAAUAUAAAAGAAAUAAAAAAAACAACAGAUUAAUGACUAAAUUGAAAACAAACGAAAUUUUAAAGCCAAUUUCAAAAAUAGAAAAUACAAAAAGAAGACCAAAUUAAAAUGCGCCCAACAGGAGGAGGAUCAAAAGAGUAAAUUAUCCAAAUCGCCCAAGCAUUGCGCAGCAACAUGGAUUGAAUUAAAACAGUUUCAAUAUUUCCUGGAAAAACUUGAAAACAAAAACAUGGAUUUUGAAAUGAUUAAAAAAAUGAAAAGGAUUAAAAGCAUAAAUAGCCCAUUAAUGCAAGGCCUACUUCUAACCCUAAUCCCAUUCUAAUCCAUUAUCAACAUGGCAGCUGCAAAAAGAAGGCAAAAGAGAGGAAGAAAAAAAAACAACUGCUCAAUCCUCUCCUUUAUUUCUCACGCCGGUAUUCUCCUCCCUUUUCAACUCCGACUGAAGCGCAACAAGGGCACCGACGACGCGCCACCGCUGGUAAGAGCCUCCUCUAUUUCUUCUUUUUUUCCGUUUCUUUAGUUUAAAAAAAACAACAGAAAAAUGAGACAAAAACAGAAAAAAGAAAAAAUGGAGAAAUCACCUUCAAAAUUUUGCCUUUUUCUUUAUUUUCUUUGAUUUCAGUACCAAAUUUGGCUAACCCCUAUUACAGAGAUCAAUUGGCCUUUUAUAGCCGAAUCUUUACAGCAAAAAUAAUAAUUUUUACAACUUUUUUUUCCCUAUUUUCAGUCAUGCUCUUCGUGGUUUAACCUGUUGCAGGUACGUGGAAACGGCGCUAUGCGAAGCUGCUGGUCAUGGGUGAAGCGACGUGGGCAGUUGCUGUGUUCGUGCGCUUGGAGGGCUGAACAUGGGCGAUGUGGAGGCUGCCAAACGUGGGGCAUGUGGAGCUGCUAACUGCUUCUAGGGUUUCUACUGUUUUAGGCCAAUUGGGCCAUGUAAUUGGGUUUAACUUAACCCAAGUUUUAUUGGGUUCAAUUGUAUUUAAUUUGGGCUGUGUAAAUGAUUUUGGGCUGGUUUUAUUUUGAAUGGGCCGGGCAAAAAUGGGCUAUUACAACUUAGAUUAGGCAUUUGAUUAUUGUUAAGAGAAUCUUGAAGUCCAAUAUAAGAAUAUUGAUAAUUUUAAACUUGAUUUAAGUUAAUUUUUAUAUAAAAAUAAAAUUAUCUAUAGAGGAGC
This 31406-nucleotide long non-coding RNA is filed under the name Gossypium raimondii (Peruvian cotton). RNAcentral describes it as "long non-coding RNA (GRAI_LNC005554)". The record is from RNAcentral. Lineage: Eukaryota; Viridiplantae; Streptophyta; Magnoliopsida; Malvales; Malvaceae.